AAGGGGGGGCAACUCCCCGAGUAGAGCGGCGAACGGGUGAGUAACGCGUGGGUAAUCUACCUCCGAGUGGGGAAUAACAGCGGGAAACUGCUGCUAAUACCGCAUGACAUCGUCGAGCCUUCGGGCCUGACGAUCAAAGCCGGGGACCGCAAGGCCUGGCGCUUGGAGAGGAGCCCGCGUCCGAUUAGCUAGUUGGCGGGGUAAUGGCCCACCAAGGCUCCGAUCGGUAGCCGGCCUGAGAGGGCGGACGGCCACACUGGGACUGAGACACGGCCCAGACUCCUACGGGAGGCAGCAGUGGGGAAUUUUUCGCAAUGGGGGAAACCCUGACGAAGCAACGCCGCGUGGAGGAUGAAGGCCUUCGGG
RNAcentral lists this ribosomal RNA (366 nucleotides) under uncultured bacterium. RNAcentral describes it as "bacterial SSU rRNA". It matches the Rfam family "Bacterial small subunit ribosomal RNA", at positions 71 to 422 of the family's 1533-position model. The record is from RNAcentral.